GACGAAGGUGGCUAGCGUUGCUCGGAUUUACUGGGCGUAAAGCGCGCGUAGGUGGUCGUGUAAGCGGGGGAUGAAAGCCCAUGGCUCACCCAUGGAACUGUCCCCCGGACUGCACGGCUCGAGGAAGGAAGGGGAGAAUGGAAUUCCCGGUGUAGCGGUGAAAUGCGUAGAUAUCGGGAGGAACGCCGGUGGCGAAAGCGAUUCUCUGGUCCUUUCCUGACACUGAGGCGCGAAAGCUAGGGGAGCAAACAGG
This 253-nucleotide ribosomal RNA is filed under the name uncultured bacterium. RNAcentral describes it as "partial 16S ribosomal RNA". It matches the Rfam family "Bacterial small subunit ribosomal RNA", at positions 524 to 776 of the family's 1533-position model. The record is from RNAcentral.